Unclassified non-coding RNA from Callithrix jacchus (white-tufted-ear marmoset), 149 nucleotides. It matches the Rfam family "Metazoan signal recognition particle RNA". From Rfam's summary of the family: The signal recognition particle (SRP) is a universally conserved ribonucleoprotein. It is involved in the co-translational targeting of proteins to membranes. The eukaryotic SRP consists of a 300-nucleotide 7S RNA and six proteins: SRPs 72, 68, 54, 19, 14, and 9. NCBI's taxonomy places the organism in Eukaryota, Metazoa, Chordata, Mammalia, Primates, Cebidae. The record is from Ensembl.
GCUGGGCAUGGUGGCGCAUGCCUGUAAUCCCAGCUACUCAGGAGGCUGAGGCGGGAGAAUUGCUUGAACCCAGGAGGUGGAGGUUGCGGUGAGUCAAGAUCGCGCCAUUGCACUCCAGCCUGGGUAACAAGAGCGAAACUCCGCCUCAA